RNAcentral lists this ribosomal RNA (794 nucleotides) under uncultured bacterium. RNAcentral describes it as "bacterial SSU rRNA". It matches the Rfam family "Bacterial small subunit ribosomal RNA", at positions 61 to 840 of the family's 1533-position model. The record is from RNAcentral.
GUCGAGGGGCAGCGGGGAGCAAGCUUGCUUGCUCUGCCGGCGACCGGCGCACGGGUGAGUAACACGUAUGCAACCUGCCCUCCGCAGGGGGAUAACCCGGAGAAAUCCGGACUAAUACCGCGUGGUACACCUGUGGGGCAUCCCACGGGUGUUAAAAGGAAGUGAUUCCGGCGGAGGAUGGGCAUGCGGCGCAUUAGCUUGUUGGCGGGGUAACGGCCCACCAAGGCUACGAUGCGUAGGGGUUCUGAGAGGAAGGUCCCCCACACUGGUACUGAGACACGGACCAGACUCCUACGGGAGGCAGCAGUGAGGAAUAUUGGUCAAUGGGCGGGAGCCUGAACCAGCCAAGUCGCGUGAGGGAAGACGGUCCUAUGGAUUGUAAACCUCUUUAGGCGGGGAGCAAUGCCGGGCACGCGUGCCCGGAGGGAGAGUACCCGCAGAAUAAGCAUCGGCUAACUCCGUGCCAGCAGCCGCGGUAAUACGGAGGAUGCGAGCGUUAUCCGGAUUUAUUGGGUUUAAAGGGUGCGUAGGCGGAUUUUUAAGUCAGCGGUAAAAUGUCCGGGCUCAACCCGGGCCGGCCGUUGAAACUGGGGAUCUUGAGUGGGCGAGAAGUAUGCGGAAUGCGUGGUGUAGCGGUGAAAUGCAUAGAUAUCACGCAGAACUCCGAUUGCGAAGGCAGCAUACCGGCGCCCGACUGACGCUGAGGCACGAAAGCGUGGGGAUCGAACAGGAUUAGAUACCCUGGUAGUCCACGCAGUAAACGAUGAAUGCUAGUUGUCCGGUUCUUUGGGACU